UGUGCAUAAUAUGUAUUUCAUGUUUUUGCAAUAAUGAAGUUUAUCUGUUAGUAUACCGUAAUUUAUUAGUUUUUACGAUAUUCUCCAGCUAACCCGGAUUUUCGAUAACCCGAACCAGCCACGGUCCCGAUUAAUCCGACUUAUCGAGGUUCCACUGUAUUCAUAAAAAAUCUUUUAAGUAACCUAGAUAUAACAAAGUGAAUAAAAGGCAUAAAUCAGAAGAAUUAUUAUUUUAUUUUAUAAGUUAAUAAUUGGUCAUAUCCAUUUAUUAUUUUAAUAAUAAUUGUGAAUAAGCCACAAACUUCGCUUAUUCCUAACUAAAAUAGUAAAUAGAGAUAAUAACAAUAGGAUUUGUAAAACUAAAGUAAUUCUUUUUGCGUUUUUGCUAAUGUAUGCCUUUAUAAAUAGGAUGGUAGACCACACACUAUAAUAUGCAGUACCAACUAAUGAAUACACAGAAUAUUAUAGUCGAUUUGCUAAACUCAGUCUCAGUACUACUGAGUCUCAGACACAACUGGCUAGUGAUUUUAGUAAAAAAAAUAAUAACUAAAUAGUUAAUAAUUACUGUAAUUUUGGCAAAAUUGGCCAAAAACAAAAAAAAAUUACCUACUAAAAUCACUAGCCAGUUGUGUCAGAGUUUGGGGAACCGACUAUACUAAUAAACAAUUUCUAAGCUGUUUUAUAAUAUUUUGUGAGUCCAUUAAUCAUAUUUUUUAUUUAAAACUAAAAUUUGUUAAUAAUGCUUAGUAAUGCAUAUAUUUUGUAUUUUUAGCUUUCCAGAAGAUCCUGCGAAGAAGACAUGAAGUAUAGAUCAGAUUUGUUAAUAGAGGAGUAUGUUCAAAACACUUUUUAGAAAAAGAUAUUGACAGAACUUCACUUUCAUCUGUUCGUUUAAGAGACUGUGCUGUUCCAAUAGCUUAUGUCACACAGAAUCAGCUGAGAGAAGUGGUCUACAAAAAACCAGAAAGGAAACAGAAUAUGUGGCUACGAAAAGCAAAAGAAAGGUUUACAAAGCAAAUGUGACACAUUUUUUUAUAAUAUUUAGGAAUGUCAGUAAAUUACAUUAAAAAAUGUAUGUAAAGAUUUUUUGCAAUAAAAAUGUUUAUAUUUA
Diabrotica virgifera virgifera (western corn rootworm) is the source of this 1111-nucleotide long non-coding RNA. RefSeq lists it as uncharacterized. Lineage: Eukaryota; Metazoa; Arthropoda; Insecta; Coleoptera; Chrysomelidae. The transcript has 2 exons. The record is from RefSeq and is a predicted model, not a curated record.